UUAAGUUCAGCGCGUAUUCCUACCUGAUCUGAGGUCAAUAAAUGAAGAUGUCAAGAGCACAAGGCACGAGACGGGCUUUAGGUGCAGCACCAUAUUUGCACCGGAGUAGCAACGAGUUGGACGAACCUAGAACGUUGUGUAACCGGGCGGCAGGCCGCACCAAUGCAUUUGAGGAGAGCGUCGUGCAAAGCACAGCGCAG
RNAcentral lists this unclassified non-coding RNA (200 nucleotides) under Taphrina sp. RNAcentral's name for it is "partial internal transcribed spacer 2". Lineage: Eukaryota; Fungi; Ascomycota; Taphrinomycetes; Taphrinales; Taphrinaceae. The record is from RNAcentral.